Molecule: small nuclear RNA, 94 nt
Organism: Dipodomys ordii (Ord's kangaroo rat)
Lineage: Eukaryota; Metazoa; Chordata; Mammalia; Rodentia; Heteromyidae
Source: Ensembl
AUGCUUGUUUCAGCAGCAUAUAUACUAAAACUGGAAUGAUACAGAGAAGAUUAGCAUUGCCCCUGUGCAAAUUCAUUAAUUGUUCCAUAUUUUU